UACGUAGGGUGCGAGCGUUAAUCGGAAUUACUGGGCGUAAAGCGUGCGCAGGCGGUUUUGUAAGCCAGAUGUGAAAUCCCCGGGCUUAACCUGGGAAUGGCAUUUGGGACUGCAAGGCUCGAGUGCGGCAGAGGAGACUGGAAUUCCUGGUGUAGCAGUGAAAUGCGUAGAUAUCGGGAGGAAUACCGAUGGCGAAGGCAGGUCUCUGGGCUAUAACUGACGCUCAUGCACGAAAGCGUGGGGAGCAAACAGG
RNAcentral lists this ribosomal RNA (253 nucleotides) under uncultured bacterium. RNAcentral's name for it is "partial 16S ribosomal RNA". It matches the Rfam family "Bacterial small subunit ribosomal RNA", at positions 524 to 776 of the family's 1533-position model. The record is from RNAcentral.